This 24-nucleotide non-coding RNA is filed under the name Cricetulus griseus (Chinese hamster). Lineage: Eukaryota; Metazoa; Chordata; Mammalia; Rodentia; Cricetidae. The record is from RNAcentral.
GUGGACAACUGAUAAUUGAGGAGU